GUUGUCAGAGCAUUAAGAAGCAAGAGAGUAGAAUGUUACAGGGGGUGCUACAAUCACCCAGAUAAUAGCAGGAAGUAGGGUGGAGAGGCAUGUUAUAAAUCAGAAAGAAGAAUCUUCGGAGAAGGCUGGGAAGCAGGUGAUUUUUAGAGUUGAGGAAGCGGGCACACCUGCAAAACAGAAGAGAUUUUUGGAUGAAGGUUAUAGAACAGCAGUCUAGAGGCAGCAGUGGGAGCCAGUUUCUGUCCCUAGAUACUAGAGCUCCAAGAGCCUGGGAGAAUGACUCAUCUCUGCAGAAAGAGGUGGGAAGGAAUGUCGUUGCCAGGGGACCCAGUGGCUACGACAGAAAGAUGCCAAAAAAAGGGCUUCAGAAGCUGAUGGCAUAGUUAUGAGAGGGGUGAAGACUGCGACUGCAUUUCCAACAGACCCUGAGGACAAUUGGGAAGAAUGCGCUGAAUAUUUUUGAGCAAUUUCUAUAUGAUAAGCAGUUUUUAGGGCAAGUAUAGGUUGCACUGAUCCUGACCUUUUGGCCUGAGGAUGGAAGUCUUCAGUAUCUGUACAACUUUACUCCCAAGAGCUGGUGUAGAAUGAGUUCCUCUGGCCAUGGGAGGAUCGCAGAGGGGCACCUGCCACCAGCAGCCCAGCCUCAGCACUUUUCUCUUCAGCGUCUUCUUCAAGGUAUUUCCAGUUGCCCGCCCUGAACUGUUUCAGAAUGAGGAGGACACCUGGAGGAAUCUACACGUGCAUAGACCAAUUUGCAAAAGAACCUGUGAGCCAACAUUAUUACCUCAGCUGGAAGAAUUAAUAAGCAACACGUUCACCCAAGAAGUAUUUACUGAGCACCUACUAUGUGCAUUAUUUUCUGGUGUUGGGGCUAGGGGGCAAACGACUCUGACAAGUCUCUGUUCUCAAGGCUGGAGUGCAGCGGCGCGAUCUCGGCUCACUGCAAGCUCCGCCUCCCGGGUUCACGCCAUUCUCCUGCCUCAGCCUCCCGAGUAGCUGGGACUACAGGCGCCCGCAACCACGCCCGGCUAAUUUUUUGUAUUUUUAGUAGAGAUGGGGUUUCACCAUGUUAGUCAGGAUGGUCUCGAUUUCCUGACCUUGUGAUCCGCCCGCCCCCGCCUCCCAAAGUGCUGGGAUUACAGGCGUGAGCCACCGCGCCCGGCCGUAGUUUACAUUUUCUAAAGCGUACUCUGCCAGCCAAGUGGCAAACAGACUUGGGCCUCUUAAGAGUGGAAGCAGGAGGAAACCCGAAGAUCCUGGAGAGAGACUGGUGGCUGGUACCAGUGGAGAGGGAGCAAAAAGGAAAAUACAGGAUACAAUUUCAGGAAAAAUUUCAUACCAAUUUCCUGAGGUAAUUUCUGAACUCGAACAUUUUCAGUGUCACCACAUUGUGUUUCCUGCUGAAUCAAGUCUACAUCACUUCGGUUUUUAAAGCCUUCCACGAUCCUUCCCUGAACACUGUAGUUUUCACUGAUGGUUGGCUGUUUCAAACUCCCAUAUGAUCCAUACUGUAUCAUUAAUAAGCAAGCAAGGAAUAACACACCCUCUGCUAUUCUGUGCAGUGUUUCAGGUUUUUAGUUUUCUCUUUCAAGAUAGAAAAUCCCUUUAGAGUAGGAACUCGGCUGGCACUUUCUUUCACAUCCUGCAUAGCACUUAGCAAAGUUCUGUACACAGGGCACAUGUGGAAAUUGCUUAUUGAUUGAUUAAAAGCAUAUAUCACUGGCAUUUGUAUCUUCAGUAUUUCUCUUGUAUGAAGAAGGGUGAUUAUCUGUCAAUAUUCAUUGCAUCAUUGAACCAAUGUACAAUGCAUUAAUCAUCACUGAAGAUAACCAGAUGAGGCUUUAUUGUAAUCUCCUUCUAUUUUGCUGAGAUAAUUUCACUUGCUUUAGAGUUUAUGAGGCCAUAAGUGGCUCCCAUCUGUUGAUGAACAUAUUUCUAAGAGUCAUUUAGUCUCAAGUAUGGAAUACUUGAGGGGAAGUUAAAUUGUAACUUUUAUAUUAAGUGUCAUCUUAGUAACAGAACCAAAAUUGGAAGCAUGUGUUCAAUUUUGGUUUUUCAUUUUCAAAGCUUUAGGUCAGGCAAAGAAUUAAUUUCAUUUGUUUACAAAGUAGAUUAUGCCUAAUAAAAUCUAUUUUGUUUAUGGUCACAUUUUAAUCAAUCCACUGCUUUAGAAAAUGAGAGAAUUCUGAUUGGCUAAUCAUUCAACAUAGUAAAUUACAUUAUUCCACAUCCACAGAACACUGGCCUAAUUGCAUUAUCCAGUAAUGAUAAAAAUAUUCCUUUUAAUACAUUUUGAGCAAGGCAUAUACCAGUGAUGAAACAGGGAAGAAUCUUGUUUAUUCCAUCCUUGUUUGAUGAUCGACCACAGAAUAUAACAUAACACUUCUGUGUAUAAGAAUUUUUUCAACAUUAAGGAUAAUAAGGACAAGGUAGUUUUCACUGGAUCCUUACUGGUACUCUGAAUUUUCACUAUUUGUCCGCAUUUCUUCUCCUUCCCGGAAAUUUGUUUUCUGCGAAAAACAAGUGCUACUUUGUCAAAUAAAGCUUAAAUAAAAUUGGUUUCAAUUUAUGCAUAAUAAAAGGAAUGCCUAGUGACUUUCUAUCUCUAGUGGGAGGUAGAAAACUCUCCAGGGUGACUUUAUUCACUCCAGAGGUUCUGGUGAGCACCAAGGAACAUUACCUCUGCAAAAUGCAGACAUACGCAAAAGGAUGCAUCAAAUUUAAGAGAAGUCCGUAGAUAGAUAUCUGAGGGAUCUGCCUUAGGGGAUGUAGACCAUAUAUACAACACGAAUUCCACAGAAUUAGCCUGGUAUUCACGAUCACUGUUUCUUAAAACAUAACUCUUUUAUGUUACCAAGCAACUUUUAUCUGAGAUGAUGACUACUCGAAUACUUCUUUUGCAUAUCGCCAGAAAAUAUCAAGUUUUCAUUUGAGUCCUUAAUUCAAGUUCUUUAUCACAAGAAGAAAGAAUAGCAUGGAUAAAAUGGUUUAAAGGUAGCCAAAAAAAAAACAAAACAUUGUAUUUUAGAAUGCAUAUUCAAACAUAUUCCAAAAAAUACUGUAUUUUAGAAUGCAUAUUCAAACAUGAUGACAAGUGGGCUCUGUGGCUCAUAUUGACAAUAGCUUUAACCUAUGAAGUG
Molecule: long non-coding RNA, 3140 nt
Filed under: Homo sapiens (human)
Lineage: Eukaryota; Metazoa; Chordata; Mammalia; Primates; Hominidae
Description: HSALNT0393567
Source: RNAcentral